RNAcentral lists this long non-coding RNA (1607 nucleotides) under Volvox carteri. Its description in RNAcentral is "long non-coding RNA (VCAR_LNC003364)". The record is from RNAcentral. Lineage: Eukaryota; Viridiplantae; Chlorophyta; Chlorophyceae; Chlamydomonadales; Volvocaceae.
CGCGAUCGUGGCAGGCGAGGACGGGCUGGGGACUAAUCCCUGUCAACCGCGACGGUAACAGCACUAAGAGCGGACCUUGAGAAAAGCCGUAUAGAUCCUCUGAUAAUUCUGCUCUGAUGGCGAAUGUGCGUCACGAGGUAGAGUGGGCUCGCAGGCUUGUUACAUAAAUCGGGCUUAGCUGCCCACCUGUGAUGCUAUUAUUCUUAAUAUUUUUGCUCAAUACGAUCACGAAGAGUUGCUUCGAGAGCCAAACGACAAAAGGUUGGCCUCUUCGCACUCACACUUAUGGCGAGGGAUCGACUGAUCCGCGCCGGGCCUUAUCGCACGAGGCCCUAUCCUGGAUGCGUAGCGUUCAUCCGACUAACGACAGAUGAAUAGCAAAUGAACAUCCUCAAACCACAACGGAAAGCGCCUUAUGCGCUAGUCAAGCAGUUCCCUAAGCCUCAACUGAAUUAAGACGCGACUCGUCCAACUACCUUCGGUUGGCUUCACCACCUGCGGAUAGCGACUAACUCGGUCGUGGCACAUAAUUUGUACGCUUCAGGUGUUUGGGCGUGACAGGGGUGCUUCGGGGAUAUAGGGAGGAGAAGGGGCGCCGGGGGAAUGGGGGGCUCUCUCUCUCUCUCCCUCUCUUUCAAGGAGCGGCCGCGCGGCUUGGGCGGCGUGGAAUGCUGCUGGCGCGCGGCCGGCGUGCGGCUUGGCUGUGUUCUUCUAUAGUGUAAGGCCUCUUGGAAGCGGGUCCCCUUUGUCGCUCUUUCACAGCACGUUCAUCCUGGUCAGCUUCGGCAGAGCCAUGAGAUCCAGGUUAAGGGGGACAGGAGCACGGAAAUGCAAUUCACCGCUGAUGAACCAAAAGCAUUAACCAGCUUAUACAGGCUUCCUACAGCACGAUGCUUUUGAGCAACGUGCAGGGUGAUUUAAGCGGCUGUUUAAGCAGGCCUUACAAACCUGCCCAUGCCCUCAGUACUGCAUAUCAAAUCAUUUAGUAACUUACUACCUUGCGCAUGCUACGCAUCACGCCCCAAAUGAGGCAUAAUUUGGUCUAAAUACGGGCGUGCACACAUGUCGCGCUUAUACUUGACAGAAGUGGCUAACGAAUUAAUGAAUAAAUAAAUGCGGGUAUUGCGGCACCAGCUAGUGCUGGCUGCCUAUGCAACUUAAUGGCGCGGUGGGCGCCAGCCUCUGCGAGCCUCAAAAGCUAAUAGGGGGCGGCCUCGUUGGAAGGAAUAAAUAUCUUGAGGAUGUGAGGAUAUCCAGGCAAGGACAAUCAUAACAAGGUGCUGAGUUUGUUGUUUACGUACCUCUGAUAAUGAACGUACUGACGGGCGCGUAAACAUACGCCAUACGCACGCGCAGUGUUCUCCAACACCCUUAUACGGCGUUCCAGCUGCUUGUCAGGCGCACUACUGCUGGUCAGGCGCCUCUGUGCCACCGAGAUAGACAGCUCUUCCUCAACCCUAAAAAUCACUGGAUUAAUAUUACAAUAAAUUGCUAUCUAUAGCUCAACAUGGUGUCAGGUUUCAACAGACGGAUGCCUUGGGGAAAAAGAAGGAAGACGUAUGCCCAACCGCAAGGAGCUGAAAAGGGCCCUGUAAGCGAAAGCCCUG